UACGUAGGGUGCAAGCGUUGUCCGGAAUUAUUGGGCGUAAAGAGCUCGUAGGCGGUCUGUCGCGUCUGCUGUGAAAACCUAGGGCUUAACUCUGGGCGUGCAGUGGGUACGGGCAGACUAGAGUGCGGUAGGGGAGACUGGAAUUCCUGGUGUAGCGGUGAAAUGCGCAGAUAUCAGGAGGAACACCGGUGGCGAAGGCGGGUCUCUGGGCCACUACUGACGCUGAGAAGCGAAAGCAUGGGGAGCGAACAGG
RNAcentral lists this ribosomal RNA (253 nucleotides) under uncultured bacterium. RNAcentral describes it as "partial 16S ribosomal RNA". It matches the Rfam family "Bacterial small subunit ribosomal RNA", at positions 524 to 776 of the family's 1533-position model. The record is from RNAcentral.